AGAGAUCAUGGCUCAGAAUCAACGCUGGCGGCGUGCCUAACACAUGCAAGUCGAACGCGAAAGGGGAGCAAUCCCUGAGUAGAGUGGCAAACGGGUGAGUAACACGUGGGUGACCUGCCUUCGAGUGGGGGAUAACGUCCCGAAAGGGACGCUAAUACCGCAUGACAUCCUGCUUUUGGAAAAGCGGAGAUCAAAGCUGGGGAUCGCAAGACCUGGCGCUUGAAGAGGGGCCCGCGCCUGAUUAGCUAGUUGGUGGGGUAAUGGCUCACCAAGGCUACGAUCAGUAUCCGGCCUGAGAGGGCGGACGGACACACUGGGACUGAGACACGGCCCAGACUCCUACGGGAGGCAGCAGUGGGGAAUUGUUCGCAAUGGGCGCAAGCCUGACGACGCAACGCCGCGUGGAGGAUGAAGAUCUUCGGGUCGUAAACCCCUGUCGAGCGGGAAGAACAGUUUCGGAGUGAAUAUCUCCGGAACCUGACGGUACCGCUAAAGGAAGCCCCGGCUAACUCCGUGCCAGCAGCCGCGGUAAUACGGGGGGGGCAAGCGUUGUUCGGAAUUACUGGGCGUAAAGGGCUCGUAGGCGGCCAACUAAGUCAGACGUGAAAUCCCCAGGCUCAACUUGGGAACUGCGUCUGAUACUGGAUGGCUUGAAUUCGGGAGAGGGAUGCAGAAUUCCAGGUGUAGCGGUGAAAUGCGUAAAUAUCUGGAGGAAUACCGGUGGCGAAGGCGGCAUCCUGGACCGACAUUGACGCUGAGGAGCGGAAGCUAGGGGAGCAAACGGG
RNAcentral lists this ribosomal RNA (785 nucleotides) under uncultured Acidobacteriota bacterium. Its description in RNAcentral is "bacterial SSU rRNA". It matches the Rfam family "Bacterial small subunit ribosomal RNA", at positions 8 to 776 of the family's 1533-position model. The record is from RNAcentral. Lineage: Bacteria; Pseudomonadati; Acidobacteriota.